RNAcentral lists this ribosomal RNA (404 nucleotides) under uncultured bacterium. RNAcentral describes it as "bacterial SSU rRNA". It matches the Rfam family "Bacterial small subunit ribosomal RNA", at positions 355 to 776 of the family's 1533-position model. The record is from RNAcentral.
UGGGGAAUCUUGCACAAUGGGGGAAACCCUGAUGCAGCGACGCCGCGUGAGCGAUGAAGCCCUUCGGGGUGUAAAGCUCUUUCGGCAGGGACGAUAAUGACGGUACCUGAAGAAGAAGCUGCGGCUAACUACGUGCCAGCAGCCGCGGUAAUACGUAGGCAGCGAGCGUUGUUCGGAGUUACUGGGCGUAAAGCGUGCGUAGGCGGUGGCCCAAGUCUGGUGUGAAAUCUCCCGGCUCAACCGGGAGGGUGCGCCGGAAACUGGGUCGCUCGAGUACUGGAGAGGCAAGCGGAAUUCCUGGUGUAGCGGUGAAAUGCGUAGAUAUCAGGAGGAACACCCGUGGUGUAGACGGCUUGCUGGACAGUCACUGACGCUGAGGCACGAAAGCGUGGGGAGCAAACAGG